GCGGAGGAAAAGAAAAUAACAAUGAUUUCCCUAGUAACGGCGAGUGAAGAGGAAAGAGCUCAAAGUUGGAAACUGUUUGGCUUAGCUAAACCGUAUUGUAAACUGUAGAAACAUUUUCCUGGCACACCAGAUUAAUAAGUCCUUUGGAACAAGGCAUCAUGGAGGGUGAGAAUCCCGUCUUUGAUCUGAGUAGUUGUCUUUUGUGAUAUGUUUUCAAAGAGUCAGGUUGUUUGGGAAUGCAGCCUAAAUUGGGUGGUAAAUCUCACCUAAAGCUAAAUAUUUGCGAGAGACCGAUAGCGAACAAGUACCGUGAGGGAAAGAUGAAAAGAACUUUGAAAAGAGAGUUAAACAGUAUGUGAAAUUGUUAAAAGGGAACCGUUUGGAGCCAGACUGGUUUGACUGUAAUCAACCUAGAAUUCGUUUUGGGUGCACUUGCAGUCUAUACCUGCCAACAACAGUUUGAUUUGGAGGAAAAAAUUAGUAGGAAUGUGGCCUCUCGAGGUGUUAUAGCCUACUAUCAUACUCUGGAUUGGACUGAGGAACGCAGCGAAUGCCUUUAGGCGAGAUUGCUGGGUGCUUUCGCUAAUAAAUGUUAGAAUUUCUGCUUCGGGUGGUGCUAAUGUUUAAAGGAGGAACACAUCUAGUAUAUUUUUUAUUCGCUUAGGUUGUUGGCUUAAUGACUCUAAAUGACCCGUCUUGAAACACGGACCAAGGAGUCCACCAUAAGUGCAAGUAUUUGAGUGACAAACUCAUAUGCGUAAGGAAACUGAUUGAUACGAAGUCUUACGAUGGCAGUAUCACCCCGGCGUUGACGUUUUAUACUGAACUGACCGAGGUAAAGCACUUAUGAUGGGACCCGAAAGAUGGUGAACUAUGCCUGAAUAGGGUGAAGCCAGAGGAAACUCUGGUGGAGGCUCGUAGCGAUUCUGACGUGCAAAUCGAUCGUCAAAUUUGGGUAUAGGGGCGAAAGA
Molecule: ribosomal RNA, 971 nt
Filed under: Mucor velutinosus
Lineage: Eukaryota; Fungi; Mucoromycota; Mucoromycetes; Mucorales; Mucoraceae
Description: LSU rRNA
Rfam family: Eukaryotic large subunit ribosomal RNA
Source: RNAcentral